UACAGAGGGUGCGAGCGUUAAUCGGAAUUACUGGGCGUAAAGCGCACGUAGGUGGUUAAUUAAGUCGAUUGUGAAAUACCUGGGCUUAACCUGGGAACUGCAGUCGAUACUGGUAGACUAGAGUAUGGUAGAGGGAAGUGGAAUUUCCGGUGUAGCGGUGAAAUGCGUAGAUAUCGGAAGGAACACCAGUGGCGAAGGCGACUUCCUGGACUAAUACUGACACUGAGGUGCGAAAGCGUGGGUAGCGAACAGG
RNAcentral lists this ribosomal RNA (253 nucleotides) under uncultured bacterium. Its description in RNAcentral is "partial 16S ribosomal RNA". It matches the Rfam family "Bacterial small subunit ribosomal RNA", at positions 524 to 776 of the family's 1533-position model. The record is from RNAcentral.